UGAUGAACGCUAGCUACAGGCUUAACACAUGCAAGUCGAGGGGUAGCAUGGUCUUAGCUUGCUAAGGCCGAUGGCGACCGGCGCACGGGUGAGUAACGCGUAUCCAACCUGCCUUACACUCUUGGACAGCCUUCUGAAAGGGAGAUUAAUACAAGAUGUUAUCAUGAGUAAGCAUUUUCGCAUGAUUAAAGGUUUACCGGUGUAAGAUGGGGAUGCGUUCCAUUAGAUAGUAGGCGGGGUAACGGCCCACCUAGUCUUCGAUGGAUAGGGGUUCUGAGAGGAAGGUCCCCCACAUUGGAACUGAGACACGGUCCAAACUCCUACGGGAGGCAGCAGUGAGGAAUAUUGGUCAAUGGACGAGAGUCUGAACCAGCCAAGUAGCGUGAAGGAUGAAGGUUCUAUGGAUUGUAAACUUCUUUUAUACGGGAAUAAACGGAUUCACGUGUGGAUUUUUGCAUGUACCGUAUGAAUAAGGAUCGGCUAACUCCGUGCCAGCAGCCGCGGUAAUACGGAGGAUCCGAGCGUUAUCCGGAUUUAUUGGGUUUAAAGGGAGCGUAGAUGGGUUGUUAAGUCAGUUGUGAAAGUUUGCGGCUCAACCGUAAAAUUGCAAUUGAUACUGGCAGUCUUGAGUACAGUUGAGGUAGGCGGAAUUCGUGGUGUAGCGGUGAAAUGCUUAGAUAUCACGAAGAACUCCGAUUGCGAAAGGCAGCUUACUAACCUGUAACUGACAUUGAUGCUCGAAAGUGUGGGUAUCAAACAGGAUUAGAUACCCUGGUAGUCCACACGGUAAACGAUGAAUACUCGCUGUAGGCGAUAUACAGUCUGCGGCCAAGCGAAAGCAUUAAGUAUUCCACCUGGGGAGUACGCCGGCAACGGUGAAACUCAAAGGAAUUGACGGGGGCCCGCACAAGCGGAGGAACAUGUGGUUUAAUUCGAUGAUACGCGAGGAACCUUACCCGGGCUUAAAUUGCAACCGAAUAUGGCGGAAACGCUAUAGCUAGCAAUAGCGGUUGUGAAGGUGCUGCAUGGUUGUCGUCAGCUCGUGCCGUGAGGUGUCGGCUUAAGUGCCAUAACGAGCGCAACCCUUGCCGAUAGUUACUAACAGGUUAUGCUGAGGACUCUGUCGGGACUGCCAUCGUAAGAUGUGAGGAAGGUGGGGAUGACGUCAAAUCAGCACGGCCCUUACGUCCGGGGCUACACACGUGUUACAAUGGGGGGUACAGAGGGCUGCCACCACGCAAGUGGAUGCCAAUCCCAAAAACCUCUCUCAGUUCGGAUUGAAGUCUGCAACCCGACUUCAUGAAGCUGGAUUCGCUAGUAAUCGCGCAUCAGCCACGGCGCGGUGAAUACGUUCCCGGGCCUUGUACACACCGCCCGUCAAGCCAUGGGAGCCGGGGGUACCUGAAGUGCGUAACCGCAAGGAGCGCCCUAGGGUAAAACUG
This 1442-nucleotide ribosomal RNA is filed under the name uncultured organism. Its description in RNAcentral is "SSU rRNA". It matches the Rfam family "Bacterial small subunit ribosomal RNA". The record is from RNAcentral.